This 213-nucleotide small RNA is filed under the name Jatrophihabitans endophyticus. RNAcentral's name for it is "Actinobacteria sRNA Ms_IGR-5". It matches the Rfam family "Actinobacteria sRNA Ms_IGR-5". Lineage: Bacteria; Bacillati; Actinomycetota; Actinomycetes; Jatrophihabitantales; Jatrophihabitantaceae. The record is from Rfam by way of RNAcentral.
ACACGAGGAAGGAGGUGGUCCGGAGUUGAAGACUUUCAGGACACGUGAGGUGGCGGUCCGCUAACCGCUGCACGACCAACGGACCAGCGUGGGCACUGCCCCCUGCCGCGUGUGCGGCGGCGAGCACUACCCGGAUCGCUACCCGGCCCCCGAGUCGUCGGCCCGUCCAGCCGACCCGGUCAUCCGACCGGCCCGACUCGGGGGUCGUUCAUG